AGAGGGCAUAUUUUUCGGGUCCAGUGUAAGAAAUGAAGUUCCCGUGAACGGUGUGCAUGAGGAGAAUUGAAGUUCACUUGAACCGUAUUCAUGAGCAUAAAUAAAAUACUGAAACGAACAUGACCAAGUGUUCUUUAAGCUUAGAUGGCGUUAUGGCUUCUGAAGAACAAUAGUUACUUCCAUACAUAUGCAGUGGGGAGAAGAAGAGACAGAUGGAGUGAAGAAAGCCAAUAGCCAUCAUUCAAAUGGACCUUGUAAGAGUACUGGAAACUUGCAGUGCCGGAAGAGUGUGAUUCGAAGUGUGCUCAAGUCAGCAGUUGAGAGAGCUUCAGUAUCCCAAGUGUGGUAUCUUGUGCUGCAGUGUCGAGCAAUGUUCCUCCGUUCUGAUUUCGUGUUUUUUAAUUUAUUUUUUGUUUUGUUUUGUUUUGUUUCCUAUUCCGAACCAGAUUGGAACAGACUUAGAGUGCUCUUGUACUUGUAAUCUUCUGAUUCAAUUAGUGAAAAAUCCUAGCAACCUCGUGGACGUAGCUCAAUUAUGAGUGAACCACGUAAAAUUGUGGUGUUGGAUUUGUGUGUGAAUGUUUGUUUCU
This is a long non-coding RNA of Prunus dulcis (almond), 590 nucleotides long. RefSeq lists it as uncharacterized. Lineage: Eukaryota; Viridiplantae; Streptophyta; Magnoliopsida; Rosales; Rosaceae. The record is from RefSeq and is a predicted model, not a curated record. The transcript is spliced from 4 exons.